GAUGAACGCUGGCGGCGUGCCUAAUACAUGCAAGUCGAGCGAACGGACGAGAAGCUUGCUUCUCUGAUGUUAGCGGCGGACGGGUGAGUAACACGUGGAUAACCUACCUAUAAGACUGGGAUAACUUCGGGAAACCGUAGCUAAUACCGGAUAAUAUUUUGAACCGCAUGGUUCAAAAGUGAAAGACGGUCUUGCUGUCACUUAUAGAUGGAUCCGCGCUGCAUUAGCUAGUUGGUAAGGUAACGGCUUACCAAGGCAACGAUGCAUAGCCGACCUGAGAGGGUGAUCGGCCACACUGGAACUGAGACACGGUCCAGACUCCUACGGGAGGCAGCAGUAGGGAAUCUUCCGCACUGGGCGAAAGCCUGACGGAGCAACGCCGCGUGAGUGAUGAAGGUCUUCGGAUCGUAAAACUCUGUUAUUAGGGAAGAACAUAUGUGUAAGUAACUGUGCACAUCUUGACGGUACCUAAUCAGAAAGCCACGGCUAACUACGUG
This 497-nucleotide ribosomal RNA is filed under the name uncultured bacterium. Its description in RNAcentral is "partial 16S ribosomal RNA". It matches the Rfam family "Bacterial small subunit ribosomal RNA", at positions 28 to 507 of the family's 1533-position model. The record is from RNAcentral.